This 380-nucleotide ribosomal RNA is filed under the name Ignavibacteriota bacterium. Its description in RNAcentral is "bacterial SSU rRNA". It matches the Rfam family "Bacterial small subunit ribosomal RNA", at positions 1 to 375 of the family's 1533-position model. Lineage: Bacteria; Pseudomonadati; Ignavibacteriota. The record is from RNAcentral.
UUACAACGGAGAGUUUGAUCCUGGCUCAGGACGAACGCUGGCGGCGUGCUUAACACAUGCAAGUCAAGGAGAAAGUUUCUUUCGGGAAAUGAUUAAACUGGCGCACGGGUGAGUAAUAUAUAAGCAAUCUACCUAUGGGUAUGGAAUAACGUCGAGAAAUCGGCGCUAAUACCGUAUAACGCAGCGGCACCGCAUGGUGAUGUUGUUAAAGUUCUUGAAACGCCUGUAGAUGAGCUUGUAUCUGAUUAGUUAGUUGGUGAGGUAAUGGCUCACCAAGACUUCGAUCAGUAGCUGGUCUGAGAGGAUGAUCAGCCACAUUGGAACUGAGACACGGUCCAGACUCCUACGGGAGGCAGCAGUGAGGAAUAUUGGGCAAUGGG